AUAGCGCCCGUGUAGCACAUUAGAAACCCUAGCUGCCGGAACAUACUCCUGUCAUCUCCCCCUCUCAACUCGACCAACCAUCCGAAAUACCACACCGAUGUUGACAUCAUUUCCGGCGAAUCGUUCUGGAAAACACGACUCUCCUCCGCAUGCGAUAACGUUAGUUUAAGGUUUCUACUUGACAAGUCCUUAUUCAGAAGAAUCUUCUGGAUCAACACUAAGUAGCUAAAAAAGCUUAUGGGUAACGGCUGCGUAUGAAGAUUACACUGGGGAUUUACAUAUUCAAGGACACAUUGAGGGAUGGUCAUAGAUGGGUUGGAGGUUGCUAAAGUAAUUCCAAUUGACCAUCCAAGAAUAAGACUAAGCUCAUGCACUGUCUGCAAAGUGGUUGUGGCACUUUGUGUUGCUCACCUACAAAUGCUUCAGCCGUUGAGUUGGAUGCACAGGCAAGAGCCGUGUAAGGAACAUUAUAUCUUAGAAGAUUAUACUGGGGAUUUCCAUAUUCAAACACACAUAGUGGCCGAGAUGGUUUGCUUAGCUCAUCGAAGAGACGGGGUUCUGGUCCGCAGUAAACUGUUUCCCGAGCUAGUAAGUAAAAGUCAGGUAGACCAGCUUCGGUCGUAAACUCAAAACUAGGGUCAAAAUUAGCUAGCAAGUAAAACUCAGGUAGACCAGCUUCGGAAAUAUAUAAUUGCUUACUUGCUAACACGAGGCGGACUUCCGUAAAGAUUACUGACAGCAAUGCGAUUGAACUCAUUCACUGUCUGCAAAGUGAUUGUAGCGUCUUUUGUAGCUCACCCACAAAUGUUGCACGCGUUGAUUUGGAUGCUCAGGUAGCUUAAGAGAUUCUAUAUUGCUAUGGCAAAACACAAUGUUACGAAGUGGUCAACUCACUGGAAGGAGUGAGUCAAUGGGGGGAGAGACGGUUUGUUCAACAAGCUUGAACAAUCUUCCUUCUCGUAAUUGUCUUGCUACAAAUGCAACCAUGUUGAUUGAGGCCCGAUACUACGGUUUUUGUAUGGAGUCAGAUGCAACCAACUCUGCAAAGAAGCCGAGAGGAAAGACAUGGUGAAUUGGUACAGGUGUGAUUGUCUGGGGCCCAUUUUUCCAUCUCGAUACCAUUGUGUCAAAUGCCAUGAAACAUUCUUCACGAGUGUUGAAUUUGAACACCACAAGAAUUCUACUUGUAAAAUCAAACAUGAGGUUGGUAGCAGCUUUACUGUCACCGAGUCAUUGUCAGAGCCACUUUGGGGGAACACUCAUCAUAUGAUAAGGCGGCUGAUGAUGGACUUAUUGGAUAUGGAAGCUGCAUUACCUGAUGGAGCAAGAAGACGUUCAAUGGAAAGCCCCAAAUGGAGGUCUGCGUGGUGUGUGUUUGUUAAAUCUGCUACAAUAAUAUACGAGGUAUGAUGUGUUCUUGGUUAGAGGUAUAUUAGAUAAAUUACAUAAAUCG
Long non-coding RNA from Helianthus annuus (common sunflower), 1453 nucleotides. RefSeq lists it as uncharacterized. The transcript has 3 exons. The record is from RefSeq and is a predicted model, not a curated record. NCBI's taxonomy places the organism in Eukaryota, Viridiplantae, Streptophyta, Magnoliopsida, Asterales, Asteraceae.